Long non-coding RNA from Oreochromis niloticus (Nile tilapia), 228 nucleotides. RefSeq lists it as uncharacterized. Lineage: Eukaryota; Metazoa; Chordata; Actinopteri; Cichliformes; Cichlidae. The record is from RefSeq and is a predicted model, not a curated record. The transcript is spliced from 2 exons.
GGUCUUCAGUGCCCUCUAGUGGCUAAAUAACCCAACUGCGGUGCACAGAUCCGCCCGCAACAAAUGCUACGGUGGAACGCACACGGCUGGAGAUCGCUAUUCCCCCGCACUCAUGGAGAAAAACAUGCCUAGUGCUCCUCGGACUCGUGAUACGGCAGGACCGUCGUAAAAGCAUGUGACGUCAUCACCGCAGCAAACAGUAAGAACAAAGUGGAACUUAUCGGCAGA